This 497-nucleotide ribosomal RNA is filed under the name uncultured bacterium. Its description in RNAcentral is "partial 16S ribosomal RNA". It matches the Rfam family "Bacterial small subunit ribosomal RNA", at positions 28 to 507 of the family's 1533-position model. The record is from RNAcentral.
GAUGAACGCUGGCGGCGUGCCUAAUACAUGCAAGUCGAGCGAACAGAUAAGGAGCUUGCUCCUUUGACGUUAGCGGCGGACGGGUGAGUAACACGUGGAUAACCUACCUAUAAGACUGGGAUAACUUCGGGAAACCGGAGCUAAUACCGGAUAACAUAUUGAACCGCAUGGUUCAAUAGUGAAAGGCGGCUUUGCUGUCACUUAUAGAUGGAUCCGCGCCGUAUUAGCUAGUUGGUAAGGUAACGGCUUACCAAGGCAACGAUACGUAGCCGACCUGAGAGGGGGAUCGGCCACACUGGAACUGAGACACGGUCCAGACUCCUACGGGAGGCAGCAGUAGGGAAUCUUCCGCAAUGGGCGAAAGCCUGACGGAGCAACGCCGCGUGAGUGAUGAAGGUCUUCGGAUCGUAAAACUCUGUUAUCAGGGAAGAACAAAUGUGUAAGUAACUGUGCACAUCUUGUCGGUACCUGAUCAGAAAGCCACGGCUAACUACGUG